GUUCAGGCUGCUGGGUGACAUUUCUAUGUCUCCCCUUCAACGGUGAAAUAUUUCAGUGGUUGUCCAUCACCUAUGGGAGUCUGACAUGGCAUAAUCAGGCCACUGGGGCAUUGCUAGUUGUGCUGUCCCUGAUAUUCACCGUGGUAGGCAGUUUCUGAAAUGGCUCCCAGUGAUCUCCAACUCCUGAAAUUCACACUCUGUGUAAUCCCCUCCCUUUGAGUGUGGGCUAGACCUGGUGGCCAAAGUGAUAGGAUUUCACUUCUGAUGUUAGGCUAUGAAAGGCUGUGACCGCUCUCUCUGCCUCUUCUCUCUCACUUGAAGCAAACUGACAUGCUGAAAGCUGCCCUAUGGAGAGGCUCAUGUGGCAAGGAACAGAGGGUGGCUUCUGGCCAACACCCAGUGAGGAACUCAGGCCCUCAGUCAAACAGCCUGCAAGGAACUGAACCCUGCCAAUAACCCUGGGUUGAAAGCUUCCCUUUGGAGAAGAACUGAGGGCUGUCUCUGGUCAAUAGCACUGAGGAACUGAAUCCAGCAAACAAUUAUGUGAAGAAACUUGGA
This 558-nucleotide long non-coding RNA is filed under the name Homo sapiens (human). Its description in RNAcentral is "non-protein coding CSMD2-AS1:11". The record is from RNAcentral. Lineage: Eukaryota; Metazoa; Chordata; Mammalia; Primates; Hominidae.